GACGAACCGAGCGAACGUUAUUCGGAAUCACUGGGCUUAAAGGGCGCGUAGGCGGGCGGUCAAGUCAGGGGUGAAAGCCCCCAGCUCAACUGGGGAAGUGCCUCUGAUACUGGUCGUCUCGAGGGAGGUAGGGGCGUGCGGAACUUCCGGUGGAGCGGUGAAAUGCGUAGAUAUCGGAAGGAACGCCGGUGGCGAAAGCGACGUGCUGGACCUCUUCUGACGCUGAGGCGCGAAAGCCAGGGGAGCAAACGGG
RNAcentral lists this ribosomal RNA (253 nucleotides) under uncultured bacterium. Its description in RNAcentral is "partial 16S ribosomal RNA". It matches the Rfam family "Bacterial small subunit ribosomal RNA", at positions 524 to 776 of the family's 1533-position model. The record is from RNAcentral.